AUUGAACGCUGGCGGCAUGCUCUACACAUGCAAGUCGAACGGUAACAGGGUGCUUGCACCGCUGACGAGUGGCGAACGGGUGAGUAAUGCGUCGGAACGUGCCGAGUAGUGGGGGAUAACGCAGCGAAAGCUAUGCUAAUACCGCAUACGUACUGAAGUAGAAAGUGGGGGACCUUCGGGCCUCACGCUAUUCGAGCGGCCGACGUCUGAUUAGCUAGUAGGUGAGGUAAAGGCUCACCUAGGCGACGAUCAGUAGCGGGUCCGAGAGGAUGAUCCGCCAAACUGGGACUGAGACACGGCCCAGACUCCUACGGGAGGCAGCAGUGGGGAAUUUUGGACAAUGGGCGAAAGCCUGAUCCAGCCAUGCCGCGUGUCUGAAGAAGGCCUUCGGGUUGUAAAGGACUUUUGUCGGGGAGGAAAUCCCCAGCGUUAAUACCGCAGGGGGAUGACAGUACCUGAAGAAUAAGCACCGGCUAACUACGUGCCAGCCGCCGCAGUAA
This 500-nucleotide ribosomal RNA is filed under the name uncultured bacterium. RNAcentral describes it as "partial 16S ribosomal RNA". It matches the Rfam family "Bacterial small subunit ribosomal RNA", at positions 30 to 523 of the family's 1533-position model. The record is from RNAcentral.